Triangularia setosa is the source of this 93-nucleotide non-coding RNA. The record is from the annotation of a GenBank genome assembly. NCBI's taxonomy places the organism in Eukaryota, Fungi, Ascomycota, Sordariomycetes, Sordariales, Podosporaceae.
GCGCGAUUAGUUCAGUGGUUAGAAUACUCGCUUCCCAUCCUCUUUCCUGGGCAAAACAAGCGAGGGACCCGAGUUCGAAUCUCGGAUCGCGCA